RNAcentral lists this ribosomal RNA (253 nucleotides) under uncultured bacterium. RNAcentral describes it as "partial 16S ribosomal RNA". It matches the Rfam family "Bacterial small subunit ribosomal RNA", at positions 524 to 776 of the family's 1533-position model. The record is from RNAcentral.
UACGGGGGGGGCAAGCGUUGUUCGGAAUUACUGGGCGUAAAGGGCGCGUAGGCGGGCGGGCAAGUCCCUCGUGAAAGCCCACGGCUCAACCGUGGAAUUGCGGGGGAAACUGCUCGUCUUGAGUCCGGGAGAGGAGUGUGGAAUUCCCAGUGUAGCGGUGAAAUGCGUAGAUACUGGGAGGAACACCGGUGGCGAAGGCGGCACUCUGGCCCGGAACUGACGCUGAGGCGCGAAAGCUAGGGGAGCAAACGGG